Molecule: ribosomal RNA, 428 nt
Filed under: uncultured prokaryote
Description: bacterial SSU rRNA
Rfam family: Bacterial small subunit ribosomal RNA
Source: RNAcentral
UGAGGAAUUUUGCGCAAUGGGAGCAAUCCUGACGCAGCCACGCCGCGUGGGUGAUGAAGGCCUUCGGGUCGUAAAGCCCUGUCAGGUGGGAAGAAUGUCCCGGGACUGAACAGGUUCCGGGAGUGACGGUACCACCAGAGGAAGCACCGGCUAACUCCGUGCCAGCAGCCGCGGUAAUACGGAGGGUGCAAGCGUUAUUCGGAAUUACUGGGCGUAAAGCGCGUGUAGGCGGUCCUGCAAGUCUGACGUGAAAGCCCCGGGCUUAACCCGGGAAGGGCAUUGGAAACUGUGGGACUGGAGUACUGGGGAGGAUGUGGGAAUUCCCGGUGUAGAGGUGAAAUUCGUAGAGAUCGGGAGGAAUAGCAGUGGCGAAGUCGCCCAUCUGGACGGUAACUGACGCUGAGACGCGAAAGCGUGGGGAGCAAACA